GGAGUCUGGGCCGUGUCUCAGUCCCAAUGUGGCCGUUCAUCCUCUCAGACCGGCUACCGAUCGUCGCCUUGGUAGGCCGUUACCCCACCAACCAGCUAAUCGGACGCAGGCCCAUCCCCCAGCGAUAGCUUAUAAAUAGAGGCCAUCUUUCAAAGAACCACCAUGCGAUGGCUCCUUCGUAUCCGGUAUUAGCACCCCUUUCGGAAUGUUGUCCCCGUCUGGAGGGCAGGUUGCCUACGCGUUACUCACCCGUUCGCCACUAGGAUUCUGCCGAAACAAAAUCCCCGUUCGACUUGCAUGUGUUAGGCACGCCGCCAGCGUUCAUC
This 326-nucleotide ribosomal RNA is filed under the name uncultured Veillonellaceae bacterium. Its description in RNAcentral is "partial 16S ribosomal RNA". The record is from RNAcentral. Lineage: Bacteria; Bacillati; Bacillota; Negativicutes; Veillonellales; Veillonellaceae.